RNAcentral lists this ribosomal RNA (791 nucleotides) under Dietzia sp. MJ217. RNAcentral describes it as "bacterial SSU rRNA". It matches the Rfam family "Bacterial small subunit ribosomal RNA", at positions 61 to 866 of the family's 1533-position model. The record is from RNAcentral. Lineage: Bacteria; Bacillati; Actinomycetota; Actinomycetes; Mycobacteriales; Dietziaceae.
GUCGCACGGUAAGGCCCCUAACGGGGGUACACGAGUGGCGAACGGGUGAGUAACACGUGGGUAAUCUGCCCUGCACUUCGGGAUAAGCCUGGGAAACUGGGUCUAAUACCGGAUAUGAACUCCUGCCGCAUGGUGGGGGUUGGAAAGUUUUUCGGUGCAGGAUGAGCCCGCGGCCUAUCAGCUUGUUGGUGGGGUAAUGGCCUACCAAGGCGACGACGGGUAGCCGGCCUGAGAGGGUGAUCGGCCACACUGGGACUGAGACACGGCCCAGACUCCUACGGGAGGCAGCAGUGGGGAAUAUUGCACAAUGGGCGAAAGCCUGAUGCAGCGACGCCGCGUGGGGGAUGACGGUCUUCGGAUUGUAAACCCCUUUCAGUAGGGACGAAGCGCAAGUGACGGUACCUGCAGAAGAAGCACCGGCUAACUACGUGCCAGCAGCCGCGGUAAUACGUAGGGUGCGAGCGUUGUCCGGAAUUACUGGGCGUAAAGAGCUCGUAGGCGGUUUGUCACGUCGUCUGUGAAAUCCCUCGGCUUAACCGGGGGCGUGCAGGCGAUACGGGCAGACUUGAGUACUACAGGGGAGACUGGAAUUCCUGGUGUAGCGGUGAAAUGCGCAGAUAUCAGGAGGAACACCGGUGGCGAAGGCGGGUCUCUGGGUAGUAACUGACGCUGAGGAGCGAAAGCAUGGGUAGCGAACAGGAUUAGAUACCCUGGUAGUCCAUGCCGUAAACGGUGGGCGCUAGGUGUGGGGUCCUUCCACGGACUCCGUGCCGUAGCUAACGCAUUAAGCG